Molecule: ribosomal RNA, 1211 nt
Filed under: metagenome
Description: bacterial SSU rRNA
Rfam family: Bacterial small subunit ribosomal RNA
Source: RNAcentral
CGAUGUCUAGGGGCUCUGAGAGGAUUGUCCCCCACACUGGUACUGAGACACGGACCAGACUCCUACGGGAGGCAGCAGUAAGGAAUAUUGGUCAAUGGACGAAAGUCUAAACCAGCCAUGCCGCGUGCAGGAUGACGGCCCUAUGGGUUGUAAACUGCUUUUAUACGGGAAGAAUCCCCUGUACGUGUACAGGGUUGACGGUACCGUACGAAUAAGGAUCGGCUAACUCCGUGCCAGCAGCCGCGGUAAUACGGAGGAUCCAAGCGUUAUCCGGAUUUAUUGGGUUUAAAGGGUGCGUAGGCGGAAUGAUAAGUUAGUGGUGAAAUCCCUCGGCUCAACCGGGGCACUGCCAUUAAAACUGUCAUUCUUGAGUAUAGUUGAAGUGGGCGGAAUGUAUCAUGUAGCGGUGAAAUGCUUAGAUAUGACACAGAACACCGAUAGCGUAGGCAGCUUGCUAAACUAUAACUGACGCUCAGGCACGAAAGCGUGGGGAGCAAACAGGAUUAGAUACCCUGGUAGUCCACGCCGUAAACGAUGAUCACUCGCUGUUGGCGAUACACAGUCAGCGGCUUAGGGAAACCAUUAAGUGAUCCACCUGGGGAGUACGGUCGCAAGAUUGAAACUCAAAGGAAUUGACGGGGGCCCGCACAAGCGGAGGAGCAUGUGGUUUAAUUCGAUGAUACGCGAGGAACCUUACCUGGGCUUAAAUGUAAGACGACAGUCCCCGAAAGGGGACUUUCCUUCGGGACGUCCUACAAGGUGCUGCAUGGUUGUCGUCAGCUCGUGCCGUGAGGUGUCGGGUUAAGUCCCAUAACGAGCGCAACCCCUAUCCUUAGUUGCCAUCAGAUAAUGCUGGGGACUCUAAGGAAACUGCCUACGCAAGUAGUGAGGAAGGUGGGGAUGACGUCAAAUCAGCACGGCCCUUAUGUCCAGGGCUACACACGUGCUACAAUGGCCGGUACAGAGGGCAGCUACCUGGUGACAGGAUGCUAAUCUCGAAAACCGGUCUCAGUUCGGAUCGAAGUCUGCAACUCGACUUCGUGAAGUCGGAUUCGCUAGUAAUCGCACAUCAGCCAUGGCGCGGUGAAUACGUUCCCGGGCCUUGUACACACCGCCCGUCAAGCCAUGGAAGCUGGGGGUACCUAAAGUCCGUAACCGCAAGGAGCGGCCUAGGGUAAAACUAGUAACUGGGGCUAAGUCGUAACAAGGUA